GGAGGACUCGCAUAGCGGCCGAGUGCACCGGUCUUGAAAACCGGCAAGGGAAACCUUCGUGGGUUCAAAUCCCACGUCCUCCGC
Molecule: transfer RNA, 84 nt
Filed under: Candidatus Planktophila dulcis
Lineage: Bacteria; Bacillati; Actinomycetota; Actinomycetes; Candidatus Nanopelagicales; Candidatus Nanopelagicaceae
Also listed under: 4 other names
Description: tRNA-Ser
Rfam family: tRNA
About the family: Transfer RNA (tRNA) molecules are approximately 80 nucleotides in length. Their secondary structure includes four short double-helical elements and three loops (D, anti-codon, and T loops).
Source: RNAcentral